AAAACAUGACUUUGAUCUGCGUCCUCAUCUGGACUCUCCUCUGCUGCUGCUUCACAGAGUCCAGAGGCCAGGUCACAGUGACUCAGCCUGGAUCAGUGACCUCUGGUCUGGGAGGAACCGUCACCAUCAGUUUUAGAACCAGUCAGAAUCCAAGCUAUUUAUCCUGGUACCAACAGAGAGAUGGAGGAGUUCCUAAACUUCUCAUUUACUCUACUAGCACUAGAGUAUCAGGGAUUCCAGAUCGUUUUUCAGGCAGUGGAUCAAACUCUGACUUCACUCUGACCAUCAGUGGAGUCCAGACUGAAGAUGCAGCAGUUUAUUACUGUCAGAGUGGACACUGGAUAAACAGUAUAGCUGUGUUCACACAGUGA
Mugil cephalus (flathead mullet) is the source of this 371-nucleotide non-coding RNA. NCBI's taxonomy places the organism in Eukaryota, Metazoa, Chordata, Actinopteri, Mugiliformes, Mugilidae. The record is from the annotation of a RefSeq genome assembly.